Molecule: non-coding RNA, 72 nt
Organism: Phrynosoma platyrhinos (Desert horned lizard)
Lineage: Eukaryota; Metazoa; Chordata; Lepidosauria; Squamata; Phrynosomatidae
Source: the annotation of a GenBank genome assembly
AACAUUGUGGCAUAGUGGUUUGAGUGCUGGAUUACAACUCUGGAGACCAGGGUUCAAUUCCCUGCUCAGCCA